Molecule: long non-coding RNA, 618 nt
Organism: Phascolarctos cinereus (koala)
Lineage: Eukaryota; Metazoa; Chordata; Mammalia; Diprotodontia; Phascolarctidae
Source: RefSeq, a predicted model, not a curated record
ACGUGUUUGGGAACAGUCUUUUUCCAUUGACUGAAUGGCCAGAACUGUUUGAGUCUUUAAGACUGCCUGAUUGAGCAGCCAGGACUUUUAUCUGCUUUCCUGUCUAAGGAUCACUCACAUCAUGCAAGGAAGAAUGCGUCAUUCAGACUCAUCACACAAACAUCUGUCAUGUUUUCAACCCAGGAAAGAGAAUCUUGGUAAAUAGAAAAGAGGAAAGUGACAGAAACAUUUGGAAAGAAUGAAUGAAUGAAGAGAGAGGGAAGAGGACAAGCAAGGGGUAUGAUUUUUCCCCCCUGAAGACUGCUUUAGCUGCAUCUAAGGAAUUUUGAAUACCUCCAACUUUGUGCAUCUAGAUAAUGGAUCUACCUGCCACCCAAGCCUAAGUAGAACAUGAUGGUCUUCCCCACUUGGGUGAGUUCUGAAGAAGAUUGAGGAGAAAGUUAAUCUAAUCUCAUUAUCAGCAGUGUCCUUCAGAUGUUGACUUGACCCAAUAUAAAAUGAGGAGAAAGGAAGGGAAAAACCCCUGGAUCUCCCCAAUAAUUGGUUAUCCAAACAAUCAUUUCUGUCAUAUAUUAGCCAUGUUGCAAAAAAAAAAACAACAAGAAAAAUAAAAUUCAA